This 319-nucleotide ribosomal RNA is filed under the name Burkholderia contaminans. RNAcentral's name for it is "partial 23S ribosomal RNA". It matches the Rfam family "Bacterial large subunit ribosomal RNA", at positions 1 to 361 of the family's 2925-position model. Lineage: Bacteria; Pseudomonadati; Pseudomonadota; Betaproteobacteria; Burkholderiales; Burkholderiaceae. The record is from RNAcentral.
GGUCAAGCGAACAAGUGCAUGUGGUGGAUGCCUUGGCGAUCACAGGCGAUGAAGGACGCGGUAGCCUGCGAAAAGCUACGGGGAGCUGGCAAACAAGCUUUGAUCCGUAGAUGUCCGAAUGGGGAAACCCACUCCUUUUGGAGUAUCCAUGGCUGAAUACAUAGGCCAUGCGAAGCGAACGCGGUGAACUGAAACAUCUAAGUAACCGCAGGAAAAGAAAUCAACCGAGAUUCCCAAAGUAGUGGCGAGCGAAAUGGGAUGAGCCUUGCACUCUUUAUUUGUAUUGUUAGCCGAACGCUCUGGAAAGUGCGGCCAUAGC